AUAAAAAUAAGCUAAAGAAGCUAUUGGGUUCAUACCUCAUUUAUGUAAGUUUAAUCUUUCUUUUUAUA
RNAcentral lists this transfer RNA (68 nucleotides) under Aphaenomurus interpositus. Its description in RNAcentral is "tRNA-Met". It matches the Rfam family "tRNA". Rfam says of the family: Transfer RNA (tRNA) molecules are approximately 80 nucleotides in length. Their secondary structure includes four short double-helical elements and three loops (D, anti-codon, and T loops). Further hydrogen bonds mediate the characteristic L-shaped molecular structure. tRNAs have two regions of fundamental functional importance: the anti-codon, which is responsible for specific mRNA codon recognition, and the 3' end, to which the tRNAs corresponding amino acid is attached (by aminoacyl-tRNA synthetases). tRNAs cope with the degeneracy of the genetic code in two manners: having more than one tRNA (with a specific anti-codon) for a particular amino acid; and 'wobble' base-pairing, i.e. permitting non-standard base-pairing at the 3rd anti-codon position. Lineage: Eukaryota; Metazoa; Arthropoda; Collembola; Entomobryomorpha; Tomoceridae. The record is from RNAcentral.